Molecule: long non-coding RNA, 291 nt
Organism: Oreochromis aureus
Lineage: Eukaryota; Metazoa; Chordata; Actinopteri; Cichliformes; Cichlidae
Exons: 3
Source: RefSeq, a predicted model, not a curated record
CAAACCGUAGCCUGGGGCCCAGCCUGGACUCCCCACUGAGGUUCUGGCCUACGGGAGAUCAAAGACCCACUGAGAACAAUACCAUUCCAGGCUGUUUUUAUCUUCCUGUGGUUCUCAUCAUACUUCCUGUGGAAAGUGGAGGCUGUCUGCAGCAUGUGCACAGCUGUUUGGAAGACCUCCAUAUUGAAGACUGACUCCAGGUUUACUGGGCUGGCCCAUCGUAAAUUGGACUGGAUAUCUUCUUUCUCGACUCUGCCAGACUCGAAGUGGACUACAGGGUGACCUUACCAG